AAACUACUCUUCAAAGACUUCCUUCCGGGCAUCGUGAAGCCCGCGUGCUCAGCAUUCGGAGAGGCAGCCGCGCUCGCCUUCAUCCAGGACAACAAAACCGCCGUUUCUGAAAAGAAAGGAAGCGGCUUCUGGGGUUCCCAGGCGCGCGCCUGAGAGCGAGGCCAGGAGCCGCGUCGCCACGCCCAGAACCCCGAGCCCGCCCCCGCGCCACCCGCCUGGCCUUGUGGCUCCGGCUGCGCACGCGACGCCCCUUCCAGGCCCAGCUCCUGCGCCCUAUUUGGUCAUUGGGGGCAAGUGGCGGGAGGGGAGAAGUGCGCCGCCUGAGGGGACACGGAGCCGGCGCGGGCUGCGCAGAUGAGCCGCUCUCGCUGCUGCCUUCUCGGCUGGGAACCCACGAGACUCGGCGCGCGAGGUGCCUGGGCUGCGCUGCUCCUGGGGACGCUGCAGGUGCUGGCGCUGCUGGGGGCCGCCCUGGAGUACAGCGCAACCUCGGCGACAUCUGCAAACAUAGAGAAUUCUGUGCCUCCACACAACUCUAGUGCUAUCUUAACAGAGACUCUCCAACAUGUGCCUUCUGACCAUGCAAAUGAAACUUCCAACAGCACUAUGAGACUACCAACUCCAGCUGCCUCAGUCCCCAGCAAUUAGACAGUCACCACCAUGAAACCCACAGCAGCAACUAAUAGGACAACACCAAGGAUGGUCUCAACAAAUAGGACUGCCAUCUUCAAGUCUACACCCAAAACAAACACAUCUCAGAUAGCAACAUCCACGAUGACCAUAGCCCACAAUAGUUCAGUGACAUCUGUUUCUUCAUCAGUAACAAUUACAGCAACUAUGCAUUCUGAAGCAAAGAAAGGAUCCAAAUUUGAUACUGGGAGCUUUGUUGGCGGUAUUGUAUUAAUGCUGGGAGUUUUAUCUAUUCUUUACAUUGGAUGCAAAAUGUACUACUCAAGAAGAGGCAUUCCGUAUAGAACCAUAGAUGAACAUGACGCCAUCAUUUAAGGAAAUCAUGGACCAAAGAAGGAAGACAGAUUGAUGCAGCCCUAUCAAUUAAUUUUGGUUUAUUAAUAGUUUAAAACAAUAUUCUCUUCUUGAAAACAGCAUAAACAGGCCAUGCAUAAAAUGUACAGUGUAUUAUGUAAAUGUGUAAAGAUUCUUCAAGGUAACAAGGGUUUGGGUUUUGUAAUAAACAUCUAGAGCUUAAAAAAAAA
Sapajus apella (tufted capuchin) is the source of this 1214-nucleotide RNA transcript. It is a transcript of the gene named porimin pseudogene, with no coding region annotated. The record is from RefSeq and is a predicted model, not a curated record. NCBI's taxonomy places the organism in Eukaryota, Metazoa, Chordata, Mammalia, Primates, Cebidae. The transcript has a single exon.